RNAcentral lists this ribosomal RNA (440 nucleotides) under uncultured bacterium. RNAcentral describes it as "partial 16S ribosomal RNA". It matches the Rfam family "Bacterial small subunit ribosomal RNA", at positions 338 to 795 of the family's 1533-position model. The record is from RNAcentral.
CCUACGGGUGGCUGCAGUGGGGAAUAUUGCACAAUGGGGGAAACCCUGAUGCAGCGACGCCGCGUGAGUGAAGAAGUAAUUCGUUAUGUAAAGCUCUAUCAGCAGGGAAGAAAAUGACGGUACCUGAGUAAGAAGCCCCGGCUAACUACGUGCCAGCAGCCGCGGUAAUACGUAGGGGGCAAGCGUUAUCCGGAUUUAUUGGGUUUAAAGGGUGCGUAGGCGGCGCUUCAGGUCAGCGGUGAAAUACCGGGGCUCAACCCCGGGGCUGCCGUUGAAACCGGAGCGCUAGAAUUCCGAUGCCGUCGGAGGAAUGUGUGGUGUAGCGGUGAAAUGCAUAGAUAUCACACAGAACACCGAUUGCGAAGGCAUCUGACGAAUCGGAGAUUGACGCUGAUGCACGAAAGCGUGGGUAUCGAACAGGAUUAGAUAUCCCUGUAGUC